Homo sapiens (human) is the source of this 1725-nucleotide long non-coding RNA. Ensembl annotates it as Ewing sarcoma associated transcript 1. Its record names the gene EWSAT1. The record is from Ensembl. Lineage: Eukaryota; Metazoa; Chordata; Mammalia; Primates; Hominidae.
UCCAGGAUCCAGCCUCCCGAUCACCGCGCUAGUCCUCGCCCUGCCUGGGCUUCCCCAGAGACGGGAGCUUGGGUGGGGGACCCUGGACCCGAAGCCAAGGCUGAACUGGUGUGCCAAGCCCAGGGAGCAACCAAGUCCCCAACUCUUUCCCUGCCCUUCCCGCAGGCUGAGCAGAAAACCAGGAAAUGGAUGGACUCCACCUCCGCAGCCACGCCUGCCCGUUUGCGCUUACUGAACAGAGGUCCUCAGGAACGUGAAAAUGAAGGGAGGGUUACUAACUUUAUGCCAUCUUCAAACCAGAAGAUCUUAGAUUAGUAAGAUCAUGUUGGCCAUGGCAUGGAGAAUGGGCUGGAGGUGGAGAGACUGGAGGUUGGAAGUCCAGUUAGGAGAUUGCUCCUGCGCUGGGGAGUUGGUGUUAGGACAGAAGAUCCAAGACGCGUUUCAGAGAGCCCCUCUUCUUGGGCCUGCGAUUCCUCACCUGGAAGGGAGAAGAGUGGACUUCCUGCCUAGAGAACACCUUGGUAAACUCUUUGUGGUUCCUGUCAUGAGAAGGUGUGCAGCUUAGGGAAAAAGCCUGUGAGCUCUGGAAUCAGAUGGAACUGGAUAUGAAUUUCCAUUUAAACUGCCUUGGGGUUCAUGUUGCAGCAUCAAACAGGGAUGGAAGAUGCAUCUUGCUUUAGCAGCAGGAGCCUGGAAAGCAGCUGAAGCCCUGGAGGGUGCCUGGCACACAGAAUCUUGUGCUGAGCCCGGAGCACAAUGGGAGCGGGCUGGCGGGGUGGGUUCACAGCUGGACUGGGAGCAGCAGACAUACAGGCCGUAGGCACAGACAUAUAAAGACAGUCAUGCAGAUUGCAGGAUGCCUGAGAGCACAGACUCUCACAUGCACAAAUACGUGCAUGAUCGCCAGUGUGCAUCCAGACAGCCCCACAUGCAUGCACACGCAUGCACACAUGUGAUGUGUACAUAGAUGGACACAUGUCUAUGCCCACAAACACUGCAGAGACACAGAAGUGUCUGGCAAGGAACACUAUUUUGUCCUCAAUUUUCUGCCAGUGAGAGUCUACUGACUCCAUCUCUGAAAUGUCUCUACUUAUUGUCCCUCUUCUCCACCUGCACCACAUCCCUAGUCCCUGAAACUCCCACCGAGACCCCUGGGCAAUAGCAAAGUCUGCACAGGAUUCCUGCUCCGCCUCUACCCCACCCUUAAGCCCAUCCUACAUGCAAGAGCAGGAGUUAUCUGGGUAUCAAGCAAAUCUGACCACAUCACCUCCCCACUGCUUAAAACCCUUUCCUACAGGAUGAAGUUGAAAUCACUUGACAUCCCAUAUAAGGCCCUUGACUGUCUGGCAUCAGCCAUAGUCUGGCCUCAGGCCCUGGCAUGGAGUCCCCUGGACUCAGUGCUCUGGCUGAGGGCCUCCAGGAUGAAGAUACCCUGUGCAAAGCCUCACACUUUUGCUGUUGCUGGGCUCACUGUGUGAAAUUCCCUCCUCCCUCCUUCCACCUUCCCUAUGCUGAACUGCCACUCCUCCAUCCUCCAUGGCCAGCUAAGCCAACACCUCCCCACUUCCUCCUGACAACCCAGGCACAGCCACUGACCUGUCCCAUGGCUGUCACAGCCCUUUCUUGGGCUCUCAAUGGUAUCAUUGUCACCUGUGUGCUCAUGAGCCUCUGCCACUCAACUCCAAGCACAUCAAAUAAAGAGCUCAAAACAUAUCGGAUACUCAA